RNAcentral lists this ribosomal RNA (301 nucleotides) under uncultured bacterium. RNAcentral's name for it is "partial 16S ribosomal RNA". It matches the Rfam family "Bacterial small subunit ribosomal RNA", at positions 509 to 807 of the family's 1533-position model. The record is from RNAcentral.
CAGUAGCCGCGGUAACACGGAGGGAGCUAGCGUUGUUCGGAAUCACUGGGCGUAAAGCGCACGUAGGCGGCUAUUCAAGUCAGGGGUGAAAGCCCGGGGCUCAACCCCGGAACUGCCUUUGAAACUAGAUAGCUUGAAUCUUGGAGAGGCGAGUGGAAUUCCGAGUGUAGAGGUGAAAUUCGUAGAUAUUCGGAAGAACACCAGUGGCGAAGGCGACUCGCUGGACAAGUAUUGACGCUGAGGUGCGAAAGCGUGGGGAGCAAACAGGAUUAGAUACCCCUGUAGUCCCUGUCUCUUAUAC